Molecule: non-coding RNA, 23 nt
Filed under: Rattus norvegicus (Norway rat)
Lineage: Eukaryota; Metazoa; Chordata; Mammalia; Rodentia; Muridae
Source: RNAcentral
AAAUAGAAACGGAGAAAUGAAGG